RNAcentral lists this ribosomal RNA (253 nucleotides) under uncultured bacterium. RNAcentral's name for it is "partial 16S ribosomal RNA". It matches the Rfam family "Archaeal small subunit ribosomal RNA", at positions 474 to 727 of the family's 1478-position model. The record is from RNAcentral.
UACCAGCACCCCGAGUGGUCGGGACGAUUAUUGGGCCUAAAGCAUCCGUAGCCGGUCCUACAAGUCUUCCGUUAAAUCCACCUGCUUAACAGAUGGGCUGCGGAAGAUACUAUAGGGCUAGGAGGCGGGAGAGGCAAGCGGUACUCAGUGGGUAGGGGUAAAAUCCGUUGAUCCAUUGAAGACCACCAGUGGCGAAAGCGGCGCACUGGACCACUUCUGACGCUGAGGCGCGAAAGCUAGGGGAGCAAACAGG